Long non-coding RNA from Triticum dicoccoides, 2226 nucleotides. RefSeq lists it as uncharacterized. Lineage: Eukaryota; Viridiplantae; Streptophyta; Magnoliopsida; Poales; Poaceae. The transcript is spliced from 10 exons. The record is from RefSeq and is a predicted model, not a curated record.
CGCUGCCGGUGGCCGGCCGGCGAAGCCGCGCCGCGCCCAGGGACGGCAGCGGCGGGGCUGUUCCGUCUCCCUACCUCCUGCCAGAGCCACCACCCCACCAUACGUAGAUCUGGCCGGGAGCCCCGCCGCCGACGAGGGCCACACCGGCGAUCUCGCGCAACCUACCUGCCUCCUGUUUCCUCUCCGUUCUCCUCCUUCUCUCUCCGACCCUUGUUCAUCCGCGGCCGCCCGAGCUCGCCCCGAUUCAUGGCCCUCUCCUUCCGCCAACUCUGGUCCAUCGCCGGUCGUCUGUGGCGCGAGCGUCGCGCCUCCUCCUCAACCUCCUCGAUCCGCGAUGCCCUGACUGCACUGCGCACGUGCGCCUCGCGAGCCAUGGCCGCCUUUUGCCGAGCUGCGGGAUCGACGUCUGACCGCCACCAUGACCGGUAUCUUGCUAAGGUCCCGGUCGCAGUCUCGUGUGCCUUUGGACCUUGGGAGCGACUGGGUGAUUAUAUGCCAGACGCCAAAAGCAAUAUUGCAACACCAUGCGUGAGGAACAUGAUUCUGCCAGUAUUUAAGCAUUAUACUUGCUAACACUGAGAGCUUAAUUAUCUUUGAUGCAACCAGUCCGUCCAAGCAUCCAAAUGUACGAUUCAUGUGCCUAGAAUCAGUACUUUUGCAUGUCUGAUGCAUGCAGAAAUAUCCAAAUUCGGCCAUUAAUUUCCCUUUUAGUACUUACUAAUGUUUUUUUAUUGUUUUGGUUGAUCCGGGGAGCGGGGGCCGAUGGCAGAAGGGAAUGGGGACCAGUGGCUGCGGGGAAUGAGAUCUGCAAGUAUUUAUUAACAGAUGGUGGUGUUCUCAGAUAUUUGUUAUUCAAGUAUUUAUUCAUCGUGUGGCACCCAUACUUCGUGGAAGAUAACCCACAGCAACUGUAGAAGAAAAGAAGUUGGUAUCCGAGAGAUCUGGAGAGCUUAGUGCAAAAGUAAAUCAGGCAAGCCCUUUUCCUCUGAAGAAGUUUAUAUUGAGACGAACGAAUGCCCUGUUGUCCAAUCACUUGCCACCAAAGGUAUGUCCUGUCCGGUGUAUAUUUGGCCAGAUAUGUUCAUCGCACAUUCAGAAACACAAAAAGAAUUGUAUUUUUGAAGUAGUGUGAUGCAAGCUGACUCCCUUACAGAUGACACUGUACAACCACUUCACACACUCCAAAAAUGUUAAGCGCUUGAUAUCUGAAGAAGCAAAGAGUACUAAAGUUUUGGCAUAUAUUACUGCUCUUAAGAAAUUAUGCAACCAUCCGAAGGUUUUUAGUUGAUGAAGGACGAAGUCCGCACCAAGAAGACCAUUCUGAUGGAUUCAAGAGAAUCAAAAGUGAAGAAUCAAGUUACAAUAAAUAUGUCGAUUACAAAUAUGCCUACAGAUACACAAGUGGUUUUCAGAUAUCUUUGCUUGAUUUGGAUCUGCUCAGAGAAAAAGGAUGGCCACAUUUAUAUGGUAGUUACUUCCAUGUCACAAAGGUGCUCUUCAGUAGAUGAACUGCACAACAGAACACGACACUAAUGGAAAGAUUCAGCAUCUUGGUCGGCUGCUCGCGGCUUGUGGCUGGUGGUUGCGGCAGUGGCAGAGCAGUGUCCGAGAGCGCGGCGCAAGCAGUGCUCCCUGCUAUGUGGGCUGAUGGGAGCACACCGUCCAAGCAGCACUUCCAAGUAUGACAAUGUCCGCUCUACACCAAGGUACGUGGGCACUCGUGCAAAGAUCUAACAUCUUCACCGACUAGGACUAAGGUCUAAAUACUGGAUGAGAUUUUCAUUGCUGGCAUUCUUCAUGAACCUAUCAAGGAGAACAUUUCAAUACUAAUUGCUGCAAAGGUGUUCUCACCACCGGCUAGCAAGAAGAGAGUAUGAUUUUUCAGUGCUCACUGUUGUAAGCUUGUUUCACAAGGAGCUUCCCAAUGUUGUACAUGUAGUCUGUUAUCUGGAAUGAUGGUAGGUAUUAAUGAAGUAGUCCAUGUUGGACUGGCUCAAAGUGGAGAAACAUGAUUGUAUUAUUAAGCAUUUAAGCUCCUAGCAAUUUAGAACCUCCAUAUCUUGGGGCUGCCUUGCAUUAUUUCAGAGAGCUAUAUUUCUGGUCUGGCAUGAUGUGCUGUCAGGACACGUCCCCACUUAUGUUCUAGGUUUGGGGGUUUGCAGAUUCGUUUAAAGGGAACACAAUACUCUAUGUGUUUGUCUUUAAUUAAUGGAUAAUAACAAUACA